CUUUCCUUGACGACGACUGGCGCACGGGUGAGUAACGCGUAUCCAACCUUCCCAUGACCACGGGAUAACCCGUUGAAAGACGGCCUAAUACCGUAUGACGUCGUUUGCCGACAUCGAAAGACGACCAAAGGUUUGGCGGUGAUGGAUGGGGAUGCGUCUGAUUAGCUUGUUGGCGGGGUAACGGCCCACCAAGGCUACGAUCAGUAGGGGUUCUGAGAGGAAGGUCCCCCACAUUGGAACUGAGACACGGUCCAAACUCCUACGGGAGGCAGCAGUU
RNAcentral lists this ribosomal RNA (277 nucleotides) under uncultured Prevotella sp. Its description in RNAcentral is "partial 16S ribosomal RNA". It matches the Rfam family "Bacterial small subunit ribosomal RNA", at positions 79 to 355 of the family's 1533-position model. Lineage: Bacteria; Pseudomonadati; Bacteroidota; Bacteroidia; Bacteroidales; Prevotellaceae. The record is from RNAcentral.